RNAcentral lists this non-coding RNA (76 nucleotides) under human gut metagenome. RNAcentral's name for it is "Glycine riboswitch". It matches the Rfam family "Glycine riboswitch aptamer", at positions 9 to 86 of the family's 94-position model. Rfam says of the family: This family represents the bacterial glycine riboswitch. Glycine riboswitches usually consist of two metabolite-binding aptamers domains with similar structures in tandem. The record is from RNAcentral.
ACUUCGGAGAACCUCAUUUGAUUGAGUGCCGAAGGGGCAAGGUGUAAACCGAAACUCUCAGGCAAAAGGACGAAGA